GGGAACUUCUGAGAGCGCUUCAAAUAACGUUGCUUAAAAGCAAUGCCUCAGUUUUAAGACCCGGCGCCUUAGGAACGGAGAUGGAUGGCACAUUUCAUCUCUUUCUUCGAGCCUCCGGUUUUCCGGGAGAGGUUUUGAAGUGGCCUCAUUUGUAAUCUGACCUCUCUUCAUGUCAUAUUUGCGUCAUCAGCUCUGGGGGCCAUGCUAGGAUGCUGACAAGUAUUUCUGGCUUUAAAAUAUGACUCUUUGGCAACCCAAAGAAGAAAAAAAAAAAAAGACAAAUACCCCACUGACUUUGGAGUGUUUCUGCAUAAAAUGGAGAGGGCUCAUGGCACAAUGCAACUGCAACCAAGAGUGUCCCAGGACACCGCUCUGCUUUAUUACCAGUGGUUAUUGCAAGACCAGUAGGGGGACUGGUUGGCUGGAGAUGCCUAUGGCAAAAGGAAUGUGGACACAGUGCUGGGGUAGAGCAGGGGCAAUCAAAGCUCUGAGAAAAUGCAUUUUUGCUGUUUUCCUAUCAGCUGGGGCUACGUCAGAAACCAUCAGCAGCACCUGGUGUUAGAUCCGGUGCUCGUGCAAAGAGAAAAGAGGUGCAUCUUCACGAACUCAGUGGAGCUACGUAGAUUUCUGCAAUCGUAACAUCUGAAAAAGAGAAAAAGAAAUGGGCUUAUGUAGACUUAGAAGUAAUCUCUAUUAAUCCCCCAAUUCUUCAAGACGGUCUUCAAGAGUUUUGGGUUUUACGUGCAUGUCAGCAUCUACAAGGUUGAAACCAAAGGAUGUUCCAGCCAGCCCCGAAAUGAAAAACCUAAAUAUGAAAUAUUAAAAACAGAUCGGCUCUAGAGAAGAACUUUGACAUCGCCACAAAUCUGAAGAAGAAAGGGAAAACUCUGGCACUGAAAUUCAGGAUGACAUCACUUUCUGAGAACCUGAUGCCAAAACAGUGCUAUCUCUGGGAGAGCUUCAGUGAAAGCUUUUGUCAUCUUUGCCAGCACCGAGCAGAUCCCCGCACCCGCAGCGGGAGCCGCCGAGCCCGGAGCAGAGCGGCCCGGAGCACCGCCGGUACCGACUUGGGCCAGAGAGCCGAGCUCAGCGACGGGAAAAGGGGAAGAAUAUAGAAAACAACCAUAACAAAAUGAAAGAAAGUUCGUGGGCCUUUCGGCAGGGACAGCUUAAGGACAGACAAGUCAGAACAUUCAACCUCCAAGUCGCUUGAAAUGUGGGGAGAAUAAUCCGAAAAAUAUAUUAAAAGCCCGCUUCGUUCGUUUCCUUCCCCUUCCCUUUCCACUUUUCUCCCCCUUUCUUCAUUCCUUCUCUCCAUUCCUCUUUUUCUUUUUCCUUCCCUCUCUCCUUUCUCUCUUUUUCUUUGUUCCUUUCCUUUCUUUCCCUGCUUUCUCUUUCGCUAUUCUUAUUCUUUUUAAAGAAGAAAAUACGUUGACAACGACCCGUUUUCACCCACUGAUAUUCGCAAUAACUCGUCCCCGAGACGGCCGAUGUUUUAACUCGCAGCAGGUUGCUGGAGUUGGAUGGAAACGGUAAAAGGUCGUAUAUAUAUAUAUAUGUAUGCAUAUAUAUAUUAAAAAGAAAUAGAAUAAAGAGAAGGACUAAUAAGUGGGAAAUGGAUUGCAAAUGUGAAAAAUAUUAGAAAGUCCAAUACCACGAAGAAGGAGAAAGAUAUCGACUGGGGAUUUUAUAUCCAGAACAGAUGAGUCAGGAUUUCUUAAACGAAACCACC
Molecule: long non-coding RNA, 1732 nt
Filed under: Gallus gallus (chicken)
Lineage: Eukaryota; Metazoa; Chordata; Aves; Galliformes; Phasianidae
Source: RNAcentral